This is a non-coding RNA of Arabidopsis thaliana (thale cress), 199 nucleotides long. The record is from RefSeq. Lineage: Eukaryota; Viridiplantae; Streptophyta; Magnoliopsida; Brassicales; Brassicaceae.
UACUUUGUCCCUUCCUAUAAUAGCAGGUAUGUUCACAUUUAACAACUUUGUUGAGUGGGAGGUUUUUUUCUCCUAACAUAAAUGAGAUCAAUUAUUACUCUGUUAUGCUCAAUCAUGUCCAAGUGGUAUUAUAUAAUUCUUUCAAAUAAACCCGCAAUUUCUCUUUAUGAUAUUAACACUGAUUCCGAACUUUUAUACC